RNAcentral lists this long non-coding RNA (1761 nucleotides) under Crocodylus porosus (Australian saltwater crocodile). Its description in RNAcentral is "lncRNA (ENSCPRG00005008292.1)". Lineage: Eukaryota; Metazoa; Chordata; Crocodylia; Crocodylidae. The record is from RNAcentral.
AUGGAAAUAGAAGGAAAAUUAUUUUGCAAUAAAAAAAUAAGUCCAAUAAAAUAAGUCCAAUAAAAUUGGACUUAAUGCAUCACUCCCCAAUGUUUUGAAAAACUGCUGAGUAAAUUCAGUUCUUCAAAUGCACACCAUUCUGAUACUGAGUGUAAUUUCCUUAGAUUUAUUUUCUAUUUGUAUCACUUGGGUAAAAAUAUGUUAAAAGGAAAAUUAUUAAUAAUACUUUCAGUUCCCUUUCUGGUUUGUCCAGUGAGCAAUGAAUGUCGUAAUGCCAUUAAAAGAGAUCUUAUCUGAACUCGCAGUAAUAUAGUCAUUUGGAAAAUAGCUCAAGAGAGCUAUUUGUUUGUAUGAUAGCCAUUCAAAUUGUUUCUUCUUCUUCUUGCUUUAAAAUGCAACUUUGGCAGUUGAGGCUGUGACCAUAAGAAACCCAACUCCCUGCUGAAAUGUGGAAGGAUCAUAGUAGAUGGAGGACUACAUCAGACUAUAACUACAUGGGUCUCUACUCUGGGGGGUAGUGGCAGCAGGGCUUGGGACAACUGUGGAAGCUGUAUCACACUGGUGGUGGCUGCUGCUGUUCUUGUUGCUGUCCCUCUAAGCAAGUGCCCAAGGCUAGUGGCAUGGUCACUCACCCCUCAUCCACUACUAGAUCACAUCCCUAAGUAUGUGGUUAUCUUCACAGAGAGCACAUUCGAUCCUCUCCUUCCAGCACAUGGCAUACUGAAGCCAGCAAUCAAUAAGAUCAGUCCCAUUAGGUGCUGGGGACUAGGAGAAAUGCAUGAUAAUUUCCUGAAACAGUCUUUUCAGAAGGACUCCCUGGGGUUUGUCUACUUGCCAGCCUCCUGUAUGGCUCAUCUUCCUCCCUCCCAAAUACAAAGAGACACAGCUAGGAAAUGUCACAGCCAGCUCACCCAGUACCUGGAAGAUCAUUCUUAGGUUUGAACACUUGGACUUCAAGCCUGCGCGAUGGGAUGCGAACAUCCAUUUCCCACUGGAAUACUGCAAAAGUCUCAGCCCAGGGAUCUUAUUUAAAAAGAAAGAAAAGGGAAGAACAGGAGAGGAUGCUGGAAGGACAAGAGAUCUGGAAUCAGAAGCAGCAUGAUCUGCAAUGCUUAUUGGCCCCAACUGGCUGCACAACUGGCAUGAGACGAGCUAACAUGUGUGGUGCUUUCUUUGGUGUACCACUGCAGAGCAUGUGCCACAAAUGGUAUGAGCAGCCUGUGUGUGUGGCACAACAGAUCAAGAAGGGGAUGGGCAGAACAGUAGCAGACAAGGCAGGAAGCAGAAAAAGCAGCAGAUCCAGCAGGGGAAGAGGAUCAAAGUGGCACUCAAAGAUGGUACAGGGCUAACCCCCUAGAGGAGUGGGUGUUGGCCCCACUGGGAAAAAAGAAUUGAUUUAGGAUGCUUGUCUGCUGGCCUUCUGUCACACAAUUUCCCCUUUCAUCCUUAACACUCCCAACAUCUGCAAGUUCCUGACUUUCUCAGGGAGAGCUGGUGGCAUUGGGAGCACAAGCUAAGAACACAAAAAAUCAUUGCCAGCAAUGUGAGAUAAAGAGAGGAGGUGUGUAAUAUUUCCUAGUGCCCAGUGCCUCAGGCACUGGAAUGGACAUUAAUGGCACAUAGAAAUACAUCCCAAGUAUUGUCUAGCUCUGUCUGUACCUGCUUGUCAAAUUCCUGUUGGUCCUGACUCUUAGUCGUUCUUUGGUAACACUUGUGUAAGUUGUCCUGCCAAUAAAACCCAAUUGAAUUGAAUUAAUUACA